RNAcentral lists this transfer RNA (62 nucleotides) under Thereuopoda clunifera. Its description in RNAcentral is "tRNA-Leu". The record is from RNAcentral. Lineage: Eukaryota; Metazoa; Arthropoda; Chilopoda; Scutigeromorpha; Scutigeridae.
AUCAAGGCGGCAGAGGAUGCGGUAGAUUUAAGCUCUAUUUACAAGAAUAUUCUUUCUUGAUA